RNAcentral lists this ribosomal RNA (253 nucleotides) under uncultured bacterium. Its description in RNAcentral is "partial 16S ribosomal RNA". It matches the Rfam family "Bacterial small subunit ribosomal RNA", at positions 524 to 776 of the family's 1533-position model. The record is from RNAcentral.
UACGUAGGGUCCGAGCGUUGUCCGGAAUUAUUGGGCGUAAAGGGCUCGUAGGCGGUUUGUCGCGUCGGGAGUGAAAACCAGAGGCUUAACUUCUGGCUUACUUUCGAUACGGGCAGACUUGAGGCAUGCAGGGGAGAACGGAAUUCCUGGUGUAGCGGUGAAAUGCGCAGAUAUCAGGAAGAACACCCGUGGCGAAGGCGGUUCUCUGGGACGGUACUGACGCUGAGACGCGAAAGCGUGGGGAGCGAACAGG